Molecule: unclassified non-coding RNA, 4019 nt
Filed under: Hevea brasiliensis (rubber tree)
Lineage: Eukaryota; Viridiplantae; Streptophyta; Magnoliopsida; Malpighiales; Euphorbiaceae
Source: RNAcentral
GUGCGCUCGUGUGUGUGCUAGUUAACCUUAAUUUUUUUGUUUUCAAUGCAUUUAUUCUAAAUAUAAGCAAUUUUAUAAUACCCUUAAAUUUUUCCUAAACAUAUUGAAAUAUAAUAGAACAUGGAUCCCCCAAGGAGUUGGAUGUAUGCUAGGAAGCUACAAGAUAGAUGGAUGUAUGCUAGGAAGCUACAAGAUAGACUACUGAACUCAGAGUUUGUUAAAGGGUUGGAAGCAUUUAUCAAGUUUGCUUGUAGUAAGCCGAAAUUUAUGGACGAGAGUAAAAUUAGAUGUCUAUAUGAAAAGUGCAUAAAUUGAAAGUACUUACCUGUGGAUGAUGUCCAGUUGCAUCUAUUGAGAUGGAGGUUUAGAUCGAAUUAUCAUGAAUCGACUACACACGGUGAAUCUUUGAUUUCUUCAAAAGCUGCUGUUGAUGUGACAGUUCCAACUGCAGAACUUUCCCAUGGUGAUAAUAAUCCAUACUGUUAUAUGGUGUAUGAUGCUACUGGUCCCCAAUUUCAAAAUAUGGCUUCAGAAGAUCCGUCUCUGGAUAUUGAAUUUGAGAAUAUGGAAGAAUGCCUAAUUUAGAAGCACAAUUUUUAUGACAUGCUAAAUGUAGCUAAAGAAGAAUUGUGGCUUGGUUGUGACAGGCAUUCACAAUUGGCACCUAUAACUCGGAUGUUGAAUAUUAAGUCGGAGCAUCAUUUGUUUGAGAAAUACUACGAUGCAGUUGUGAAUUUCAUUGGGGAAUUAUUACCGGAUGAAAAUAAGUUUGCUGAUAGUUUUUACAAGAAAAAGAAGCUUAUACAUGGGUUAGGUCUACCUGUUGAGAAAAUUGACUACUGCAAGCUUGGUUGCAUGAUUUAUUGGGGGGAAAUAGUAGUUUAACAGAAUGUAAAUUUUUCGGGCAGGCAAGAUAUAAGUUUCGAAGUGGGUUAGAGAAGGCAAAAGUAUUAUGUAAGAGAAUGUAUUAUUUUCCUUUGACACCAAGACUUUAAAGACUAUAUGCUUCUGAUGCAACAGCUGCACACAUACUGUGGCAUAAUGAGCAUAACAUGGAAGAUGAUGUCAUGUGUCAUCCAUCUAAUUCUGAGGCAUGGAAGCACUUUAACCGUACCCAUCUACCGUUUGCAGCUGAAAGUCAAAAUGUUAGGUUGGGAUUAUGUACUGAUGGGUUUCAACCCUUUGGAUAGUCAGGACAGUAGUAUUCAUGUUGGCCAGUAAUAAUUACACCUUACAACUUGCCUCCUGGUACAUGUAUGAAGGAGCCUUAUUUGUUUUUAUUGAUAAUAAUACCUGGACCACAAAAUCCCAAGGAACAGUUAGAUGUCUAUUUACAGCCAUCAAUUGCUGAACUAAUUCAGUUAUGGGAAGUGGGUGUGCAGACAUAUGAUGUAUCUAAGAAGCAAAAUUUUCAAAUGUAUGCUACUCUUAUGUGGACAAUUAGUGAUUUUCCCGCUUAUUCAAUGUUGUCCGGGUGGAGCACUGCUGGGAGAUUAGCAUGUCCAAACUGUAUGGAUUAUUCAGAUGCAUUUUCAUUGAGUCACGGAGCGAAAAUUACUUGGUUUGAGAAUCACCGUAAGUUUCUUCUACAAAACCAUCCAUUUAGACGAAACAAAGUAAAUUUCCUUAAAGGAAAAACAUGCACAAAUGAGUCUCCUCCAAUUUUAAGCAGCGAAGACACUUUUUUAUAGAUAGAGGGCUUAGGACUUAAGAGGGUAACAUAUAUUGAUGGUGAAGCGAUCAAUGCUGCCAUAGCCAGAAAUACUGGUUGGCGAAAAAGGAGCAUAUUUUGGGAUUUACCUUAUUAGUCUUCCAAUCUCAUUUGACAUAACUUAGAUGUCAUGCACAUCGAGAAAAAUGUCUUUGAGAAUACUUUUAACACUGUGAUGAAUAUUGAAGGGAAGACAAAGGAUAAUGCAAAAGCAAGAGAAGAUAUGACACAUUUAUGUCAUAGAAAAAAGUUAGAGAAAGAUGUGCGAACAGGUAAAUACCCUAAGGCUUGCUAUACUCUUGAUAAACAGCAAAAGCACAAAUUAUGUGAAUGGGUGAAAAGCGUGAAGUUUCCAGACGGUUAUGUGUCCAACAUGGGAAGGUGUGUUGACAUGGAUAAGUAUAAGCUUUUCGGUAUGAAGAGCCAUGACUGUCAUGUGUUUAUGCAGAGAUUAUUACCAAUUGCAUUUUGCGAGUUCCUUCCAAAUACAGUUUGGCAAGCAUUGACUGAGUUGAGCUUGUUUUUUAAAAAUCUUAUUGCUACAAAUAUUAAUGUGCAAGAUACGGAGCGUCUGGAAGCAGAAAUUCCCAUUAUUAUUUGCAAAUUAGAAUGCAUAUUUCCUUCUACCUUUUUUGACUGAAUGGACUAUCUUCCCAUCCAUUUGCCAUAUGAAGUAAAAAUUGCAGGCCUAGUACAAUAUCGAUGGAUGUAUCAUUUUGAAAGGUAAUAAAUACUUCUUAUUUUUCUUUAAAUGUUAUGAAAUGUAUCGUAAACUUUUUGUAAGCCAUUUGACCAUAAUUUUUUUUAAUUUUUAGAUUUCUCUGCCACCUGAAGCAAAAUAUAAAGAACAAAGCAAAAGUAAAAGGUUCAAUAUGUAAUGCGUACUUAGUUGAAGAAGUAUCCAAUUUUUGUGUGCAUUACUUUGAACCUCAUGUAAUAGCACGAGAUUGACAAGUACCCCGUAAUGAUGAUGGUGAUGUUGAUAUCAAAGGAAAUUUAUUAAUUUUCAAGUAUCUCGAUUGAUCGUAUUGUACAAUGAAAAUGAAGAUGGUGGCUGAUGAUGAAAAUAAAACUGCCCAAAUAUAUGUCCUACUAAAUUGCCCUGAAAUUGACACGUAUGUGAAGUAAGUUUAUUAACUACCCAAAAUUUAAGUUAAAUUUCUAAAAGUCAUUAUGAAUUUUCCUUUCCCUCUAAGAAUCGCCCAAUUUAAUUGUAUAUGUAGUUUGUUCCUAACUGAAUUGUGACAGACGUCACAUAAUAUUAGUGAUGCAGAAGUUGAUGAAGCACUAGAAAAAAGAUUUGCAGAUUGGUUUAAAGGUUAUAUAAGUAUCAAUUUAUUUAACUCAUUUCAUUAUCAAUCUUCAAAUAAUAUAGUACAUAAUAAUAAGGAUUUCAAUUCUCUUUAACUUAUCAAGCAAGGCAUUCAAACAUUAAUAAUAAAUUCAUUAAGGAUUUAACAGAAGGACCAUUGAGAAGUGUGAAAUCACAUCCUGUGUAUUUCAUAAAUGGUUAUAGAUUUCACACAAAUAGUCAUGGUGCUAAUCGAUCCACAAUGAAUAGCUGAGUUUGCAUUAGGAGUUCAAUAUAUGGUGACAACUCCAAUAACUACUAUGGUAUCUUGAAAGAGGUAGUUCAACUUGAGUACCCUGCAUUACCAAUGAAGAGAACUAUUCUCUUCAAGUGUGAAUGGUUUGAUCGAACUUCGGAUGUUGGUAUUAAGGUUCACAAACACUAUAACUUAGUGGAUAUCAAUCACAGGAAAAGAUUAAAUAAAUAUGAACCAAUCACACUUGCUUCACAAGCUGAACAAGUGGUUUACAUCUCUUAUCCUAGCUUGAGAUGAGACAAAGCUUAUUGGUAUACCAUAUGCAAAGUGAAGCCUAGAUCUGUUAUCAUCAUGCCUCGGACAAAUAUACCAGAGCAAAUAACAGACCAAGCAUUUCAAGAUGAGGUAGUAGAAGUGUUACAAAUUGAUAUAAAAGUAGAAGAGCAACAGAUUGGACCAUUAGAUGAUUUAAGUAGUGAACCACUAGAGCUUAAAACUGUUGAAGAAGAACUAUUGGACGAGGCAGAUCUAAAUUAUACAAUGAAAAGCGAUGAAGAAGAACUUCAUGAAUAUGAUGAUGAUAGUGAAUAAAUUGUAUUGUAAUGGAUAGUGAUCUAAAUUUCAAAAGCAAUAAAUAAUUUAACUUUAAUGUAAUGAUUGUGAUAUUAUCAUAUUAUUGAUGUCUAUUAUUUUACAAUUUAACUUUAUAAAUUAUUUGUGAGAAGGAGAUGUGUAUAAUAAAUGUGUAAGGCAAGAUGGCA